UGACUCUCGGCAAUGGAUAUCUUGGCUCUUGCAUCGAUGAAGAGCGCAGCGAAAUGCGAUACGUGGUGUGAAUUGCAGAAUUCUGUGAACCAUCGAAUUUUUGAACGCAAGUUGCGCCCGAGGCCAAUUGGCUAAGGGCACGUCCGCCUGGGCGUCAAG
RNAcentral lists this ribosomal RNA (159 nucleotides) under Platylepis polyadenia. Its description in RNAcentral is "5.8S ribosomal RNA". It matches the Rfam family "5.8S ribosomal RNA". Rfam says of the family: 5.8S ribosomal RNA (5.8S rRNA) is a component of the large subunit of the eukaryotic ribosome. It is transcribed by RNA polymerase I as part of the 45S precursor that also contains 18S and 28S rRNA. The record is from RNAcentral. Lineage: Eukaryota; Viridiplantae; Streptophyta; Magnoliopsida; Asparagales; Orchidaceae.